CCUACGGGAGGCAGCAGUGGGGAAUAUUGGACAAUGGGGGCAACCCUGAUCCAGCCAUGCCGCGUGUGUGAAGAAGGCCCUCGGGUUGUAAAGCACUUUCAGUGAGGAAGAACGCCUGGUGGUUAAUACCCAUCAGGAAAGACAUCACUCACAGAAGAAGCACCGGCUAACUCCGUGCCAGCAGCCGCGGUAAUACGGAGGGUGCGAGCGUUAAUCGGAAUUACUGGGCGUAAAGCGCGCGUAGGUGGCUUGAUAAGCCGGUUGUGAAAGCCCCGGGCUCAACCUGGGAACGGCAUCCGGAACUGUCAAGCUAGAGUGCAGGAGAGGAAGGUAGAAUUCCCGGUGUAGCGGUGAAAUGCGUAGAGAUCGGGAGGAAUACCAGUGGCGAAGGCGGCCUUCUGGACUGACACUGACACUGAGGUGCGAAAGCGUGGGUAGCAAACAGGAUUAGAUACCCGGGUAGUC
RNAcentral lists this ribosomal RNA (465 nucleotides) under Vreelandella stevensii. Its description in RNAcentral is "partial 16S ribosomal RNA". It matches the Rfam family "Bacterial small subunit ribosomal RNA", at positions 338 to 795 of the family's 1533-position model. The record is from RNAcentral. Lineage: Bacteria; Pseudomonadati; Pseudomonadota; Gammaproteobacteria; Oceanospirillales; Halomonadaceae.